UAUUCAUCGUUGACUUCUUCGGCACUGCCAUCGAGGUCACUGUCACCUUCUCAGCCUCCGUCGCUCGGAAAUGGCUCCACACCACUCUCUUCCUCCGCCGAAGGUAUAUGGGCCGUCUUGUCGUCGGCGUCGGUGUCCAAUGGACUCCUUGGAACGGAAACGAUCCUCCAGCUGAUACUCUCCAGCUCUGCGUGGGAACUCGCUGCUUGAUCUUCCAACUCUCUCUAGCUGAUACCGUUCCACGCAUUCUUCGCCGCUUUCUCUUAAAUCCGAACAUCAC
This 280-nucleotide unclassified non-coding RNA is filed under the name Hevea brasiliensis (rubber tree). Lineage: Eukaryota; Viridiplantae; Streptophyta; Magnoliopsida; Malpighiales; Euphorbiaceae. The record is from RNAcentral.